GGGACACUACAUUAGUAUCUCUGCUGUUGCUUCUUAUGCAUUUUCAAACUUUACUCUAUUUGUUCCAUACAGGCUAGAGAAGCUAUACAGCAGAGUCUGGCCUCUGAUGAACAUGAGAAAGAGCAUGCGGAAAUCAACGAUAAGGAAGACUUGGCCACUAUGAAGAAUUCCGUCAACUAUGAUUCCAAUGUUGUAGGUAGAUCCGGAAUCAAGAUGAAGGCCCCCGAGCCUCAACAACCAUUAAGUUCAGGUGAUUCUGCAACUCAGGCCCCUGCUUCUAGAAGAAUCCGUUUGCAGAUGAGUACUUCACCUCGGUCAGUUGUUGAUAGCAAUGUGAGAGAUACAACCCCUGCUGAAGAAGAUAAUGUGCAGUCAACUAUUUAUGAGGUAAGGAUGGUCAACGAAGCCAACAUAAGCAUUGUAUAUACAUAUGUUCGGUGUUCCCAUCAAAUUCUAAGCGAGCAAUAUUGUCCCUUGCAGGUCAAGGAAGCCACGGAGAAGAUUUCUAAUUUCGAUGAGCAGGAAGCAGAGUCCCGUCUUUUGAAGUCAGACAUGGGCAGGAAAAUUACCGAUGGCUCACCAACAGAACUGGUUGAUGAGAAGAGGGCUGCUGAAGAAGCCCCAAUAACGUUGAGGUUAAGGACGGGAAGGGACGGUGCAUCACCCAGCAGCCAUAUGGGGCUGUCAGUGUCUUCGAAGGAACUGCCCAAACACCACGGCCUGAGUCCUACAUUUGUUAUUUUGGUUGGUAUUCCUUUAGCCGUAACCCUGUUCAUAGCAUUUAGUGGGAUUUGGAUGACAUUUAGAUCUUGACGUUGCACGGAGGAAGCCAUUGACGAUAGGCAUAGGCGCUUCGUUCCACGAUGUGUUUCAGUUGAAACGGGUUAUUAGGCUUGUAAAUUGCGUUCUCAUAUAAUCGUGCGGAUGUAACCUUAGAUGAGAUAAAUAAUGACAGUUUGUAGUUUGAUUUAGUCUGUUUCCAGACAACUCUGUUUUUCUAGAGUUUAGUUGGCUUAGUUUUCACUGGAAACAUAACAUAGAUCUGACGUGGCUAUUAUAUUUAGGGCUGGUUCGGUAUGGGAUACCGAACUGAAAAUGACAUACCAAAUCCCGAACCGAAAAUUUUCGGGACGAGAAUAAGAGGACCGAUCCCAAACCGAAACUUCGGGAUUCCCGAAUUUCGGUAUUCCCAAAAAAAUUUCGGUAUUUCGGGAUUUCCCGAAACCGAACUUGCAUUGAAAUCCAAAUCAACUAAUUGAAAUCGAAAACAUUCAAACCUGCAUGAAAAACCCAAAAUGAAAUCAGAGAAGUGACAGUGAAUCAGUGAAGAUUGAUGGGAGAUAGAGAGACAGAGUGAAGAGAUAGUUCGUCCUCCUCCUGACCCGAGCCCCUAAUUCGAAACCCUAAGCCCCAAUUCGAAACCCUAAUUUGAAACCCCACAUAGAGAAUCAAUGGAGAGAAUCGAAGGUGGGGAUGAAGCCGUGAUGUGUGGUGGUGGCCAGAGGGGAGAAAGUUCGUCAGAGUGAGACUGUGAGAGGGUGGUGGCUGCUAGGCUUCGAAUUCGAGAAGGAGAGACAGAGAGAAUCUAAGAGGCCAAAGAUAAGAAAUGAGAGAGAGUGAGUAUGGAUGUGUCGGCUUGGGUUUGAAUUGAGUUGAAGGAAUGUUUUGGUGGCUUCGCCUUUCUAGGUUGCAAAGCAGACAGCACCCAUGUGCUUUGAUAAAACUUCAAGCGCCAGGCACACAAUCAGAUCCUUAUCCCCACACUUAAGUUAUUCUAAUAAUAUAAAUAGGCCAUAUACAUAUAUUCCAACAUAUAUAUAACAAUAGGGUUUAAAGUUCGGUUCGGGAUGGGAAUACCGAACAAUUUUAAGUGUGAGACCGAAUCCCAUACCGAAAAAUUCGGGAUCGGUUUGGUUUCGGUAUCAAAAUUUUCGGGAUUUUCAGUAUGGUUUUUUUUCGGUUUGGUUUCGGUAUGGUUUGGGAUUUUCGGUAUUUUUUUUCACCCCUAGUUAUAUUUGUGUCAUUUGGCAAAAAAAUAAUUUUUUAAUACAUUUAAAAAUAAUUAAUUAAAGAAAAAUUAUUAAAAAAUAAAAAACCAAACCCUUAAACCUAAAACCCAUCUUCCCCAACCUUCGUCCCGCCCCUCACCAUAACCUUCCUCUCACUCUCCCCUCUCUCUGUUUUCCUAAUUUAUUUUUCAUUUUUUGCGAUUUUUUAAAUUUUUAUCUGAGCUGUUGAACUCGCGGGGAUAGUCGGAGAUUUUGCUUUUAGGUCCCUGGAAUUUCGUUAAUCUGCGAGGGAUUAGGGUUUUUGGAGGAUGAGAUUUGAAUGGGAUUUUGAGUUUCUGCAAUGGUACCUGCUGUGUCGACGACAUUGAACCCCAAAGCCACGUCCCAAGGAGGAGGUCGUCCUCAAAACGGCACCGUAAGGCCGCCUCUUUUGCCUUCGGAAUCCAACAAUGGCGUCGCUGUUCCUCGCCGCCCCAAAGCUCGGGAGGUCACUUCUCGGUACAUGUCCUCCUCCUCCUCCUCGCCGACAGAGUAGCAGCUGUGGCCUGCGAGGUUGCGGCAACCAAAUAGUAUGAGUAGGAGCUUGGAUUGUACGGAUGAGAGGAAGAGGGUGAGUGGAUCUGGGGCCAAUGUGGUUAGGGCAUGACGUUGAUGGGAGAUUGAGGUCGAAUUCUUACAAUUUAGGUUCAGUGAAGGCUACUGAGGGGAGGUGGGGUGGGGUGGGAUCGCUGGGGUUUUGGUGGUGAAGGUCGGGGAGGUGAAGAGG
This 2775-nucleotide long non-coding RNA is filed under the name Malus domestica (apple). Its description in RNAcentral is "long non-coding RNA (MDOM_LNC018249)". Lineage: Eukaryota; Viridiplantae; Streptophyta; Magnoliopsida; Rosales; Rosaceae. The record is from RNAcentral.